GGUUUGUGGCUCAGUGGUAAAGUGCUUGUCUAGCAUGCAUGAGGCACUGGGUUCGAUUCUCAGCACCA
RNAcentral lists this transfer RNA (68 nucleotides) under Marmota monax (woodchuck). RNAcentral's name for it is "tRNA.Ala". The stretch from base 5 to 65 matches the Rfam family "tRNA", at positions 6 to 65 of the family's 71-position model. Rfam says of the family: Transfer RNA (tRNA) molecules are approximately 80 nucleotides in length. Their secondary structure includes four short double-helical elements and three loops (D, anti-codon, and T loops). Lineage: Eukaryota; Metazoa; Chordata; Mammalia; Rodentia; Sciuridae. The record is from RNAcentral.